This 211-nucleotide long non-coding RNA is filed under the name Lathyrus oleraceus (garden pea). RNAcentral's name for it is "Pisum sativum (pea) long non-coding RNA (PSAT_LNC013255)". The record is from RNAcentral. Lineage: Eukaryota; Viridiplantae; Streptophyta; Magnoliopsida; Fabales; Fabaceae.
UUCUUUCAAGAAUACGCAAAUAUGGUGGUCUUAGGCAGUCUCACCUUAGAUGCUAAAAUCUUUCAAGAAUGUGAGUUCUUCAAGACUUUUGAAGAAUCAAAAUUAAAGGUAUUCAUAUGCAACCCUUCAAGAGAGGUUUAUCCAUCAUUAGUCAAUAUGUUCUAUUCAAAUUUAUACUUGAUGGGAUUAUCGACUCUAAAGGGAGAAAGCA